CCUACGGGAGGCAGCAGUGGGGAAUUUUGGACAAUGGGCGCAAGCCUGAUCCAGCCAUGCCGCGUGUGGGAAGAAGGCCUUCGGGUUGUAAACCACUUUUGUCAGGGAAGAAACGGUCUGAACUAAUACUUUGGACUAAUGACGGUACCUGAAGAAUAAGCACCGGCUAACUACGUGCCAGCAGCCGCGGUAAUACGUAGGGUGCAAGCGUUAAUCGGAAUUACUGGGCGUAAAGCGUGCGCAGGCGGCUUUGCAAGACAGAUGUGAAAUCCCCGGGCUCAACCUGGGAACUGCAUUUGUGACUGCAUGGCUAGAGUACGGUAGAGGGGGAUGGAAUUCCGCGUGUAGCAGUGAAAUGCGUAGAUAUGCGGAGGAACACCGAUGGCGAAGGCAAUCCCCUGGACCUGUACUGACGCUCAUGCACGAAAGCGUGGGGAGCAAACAGGAUUAGAUACCCUGGUAGUCCACGCCCUAAACGAUGUCAACUGGUUGUUGGGAGGGUUUCUUCUCAGUAACGAAGCUAACGCGUGAAGUUGACCGCCUGGGGAGUACGGCGCAAGGUUGAAACUCAAAUGAAUUGACGGCUGAGAGUAGCGACGGACGACGACGAGGGAGGAGG
RNAcentral lists this ribosomal RNA (619 nucleotides) under uncultured bacterium. RNAcentral describes it as "bacterial SSU rRNA". It matches the Rfam family "Bacterial small subunit ribosomal RNA", at positions 338 to 954 of the family's 1533-position model. The record is from RNAcentral.